AUUGAACGCUGGCGGCAUGCUUUACACAUGCAAGUCGAACGGCAGCGCGGGCUACGGCCUGGCGGCGAGUGGCGAACGGGUGAGUAAUACAUCGGAACGUGCCCAGUAGUGGGGGAUAGCGCGGCGAAAUCCGGAUGAUUACCGCAAACGACCUGCGGGUGAAAGCGGGGGAGCUUCGGACCUCGCGCUAUUGCAGCGGCCGAUGGCGGAUUAGCUAGUUGGUGGGGUAAAGGCCUACCAAGGCGACGAUCUGUAGCUGGUCUGAGAGGACGACCAGCCACACUGGGACUGAGACACGGCCCAGACUCCUACGGGAGGCAGCAGUGGGGAAUUUUGGACAAUGGGCGAAAGCCUGAUCCAGCAAUGCCGCGUGUGUGAUGAAGGCCUUCGGGUUGUAAAGUACUUUUGGCGGGAACGAAAAGAACUGUGCCAAUACCACGGUUCGAUGACGUUACCCGCAGAAUAAGCACCGGCUAACUACGUG
This 484-nucleotide ribosomal RNA is filed under the name uncultured bacterium. RNAcentral's name for it is "partial 16S ribosomal RNA". It matches the Rfam family "Bacterial small subunit ribosomal RNA", at positions 29 to 507 of the family's 1533-position model. The record is from RNAcentral.